This is a long non-coding RNA of Brassica oleracea var. oleracea, 491 nucleotides long. RefSeq lists it as uncharacterized. The transcript has 3 exons. Lineage: Eukaryota; Viridiplantae; Streptophyta; Magnoliopsida; Brassicales; Brassicaceae. The record is from RefSeq and is a predicted model, not a curated record.
CAGCGAAAUAAAUUCUAGACCUGGUCAUUUUACCCGAACACUCAUCUGUUAUAAAUGUUUGCGAUCUAUCUCUUGAUAGCAGGGAGUUCACUGCAAUUGUCGAAAAGUCUUCACAUUUACCUGCCAAGGUAUGAAGACACUCAGCAUUGAGAGACCCCAUACUGUUCCACAGAACCUCAGCCAGUUUGAUUCUGGUAUCACCGUAUCACCAUUAUGCUUCUAAUUCAAGCUCACGUUGUAGAGGGUGCUGAUGUCUGCAAAUGCAUUACUCCGGAUGUCCUUGACGUUGAGGUGGAAAGAAUGUCAGUCAUGAUCUAUGAAGAUAACCUUGGAGUCCUCUGAUUUGAGUGACCUAAUCUUUCUGUUUUUUUUUUGUUUUGAGUUGUUGUGGAGGACCAUCCUCUCAUGGGUCGGUCAUUUGCAUAAAACUUUGGUACUGAUUUCUCUAUGUGUAAUAACGCAUCCUCGUUCUCUCUAAUGACCUUCCUUUU